GUCCUUGGGAUGAUCCACUUCUUCAGUGAUUUCUUUUUAAGAAAAAAGGAAGUCGUUUGGAACGACAGGUUUUGCAUAGCACACUGGGAAGAGCAAUACUCUCUAUCAAUUGAAAAUGGGAAGAUCUAGCUGGCUAGGGAUGUGUCGACGGCUGUUACUGUCAUCUAUGGUUGAAGAAUCGCCCAUUAAUCAAAAUCUGUGGCUUGACAAAGCUUCUACAUUGCGUCAAUCGUUAUUUCAACAAAGAGCUUUGCAUAGUUGUACCUUUGUUAUUCACAAAGAUGAUGAUUUUGCAACUAUGGGAAUGUUGUUGGCGAAGCGCUGUAUUCAUGCUACAGGAUCUUGCUACUCCAGUCAGCGAGACUACUACGAGGUUCUUGGUGUUCCAGAAAAUGCUAGCCAAGAUGAGAUAAAAAAGGCUUUUCAUGCUCUUGCCAAGAAGUAUCAUCCAGAUGCAAAUAAGAAUAAUCCUUCUGAAAAGAGGAAGUUUCAAGAGAUAAGAGAUGCCUUUGAGAUUCUGCGAGAUUCUAAGAAGAGGGCUCAGUAUGACAUGGGGCGAAGCAGAGGUUCGGAGAAUGUAGAAUAUAAUACUGGUGGUGCAGAGGGGUUUAGAUAUGCUUAUGAAACUCAAUUUUCUGAUUCUUUCCGUAAAAUAUUCUCUGAGAUUUUUGAAGAUGAGACUGACCAAUUUGCACCUGAUAUUCAGGUGGAGCUAUUGCUCUCUUUUUCCGAAGCUGCUAAAGGAUGCACAAAACAUGUGUCCUUUGAUGCAUUUGUGCCCUGUGAUUCUUGCUAUGGACGUGGCUACCCAAUAGACGCCAAAACAAGUGUCUGUCCCAGGUGCAGAGGCAUAGGAAGAGUUACAAUUCCUCCAUUUACGUCAACAUGCAACACUUGUAAAGGAACGGGAAAAAUAAUUAAGGAACACUGUAUCUCAUGUAGAGGAUCAGGGGUUGUUGAUGGCAUCAAGGAAGUCAAAGUGACAAUUCCAGCAGGGGUGGACUCUGGAGAUACAAUACGUGUUCCAGAUGCGGGUAAUGCUGCUGGGCAAGGAAGCCAACCUGGGAACUUAUACAUUAAACUAAAGGUAACCGAUGAUCCUGUCUUUACUAGAGAUGGUGCAGAUGUUUAUGUGGACUCUAAUAUCAGCUUUACUCAAGUUAGCCCUAAAUCCUUUGCUAUUCUUGGUGGAAAGGUUGACUUGCCUACUUUGUCAGGGAAUGUGCAAGUAAAACAGAUACCAAAGGGAGUUCAGCAUGGGCAUCUGUUAGUCUUAAGAGGGAAAGGUUCAUGCAGGACUACCAAAGCAUGGUUUUCUUAUAGAUCAUGGAGAUCAAUAUGUGCGAUUUCGUAUUAACUUCCCUAAAGAAUUAAGUGAACGCCAACGGGCUAUAUUGGAAGAAUUUGCAGAAGAGGAAAUUAAUAAUGAGAACAGCACCUCCAGUGGAGGAAAUUGUCAUUUUACUGUUUGUAAUGAAGAUCCUGAAAUGGACGGCAGGCUUUAUCAGCAGCUAUCUACUGGUUGAACUUUCAGGUGGCAGCAAAUUGUUGAACGAGUAUCAGGUCCAAAGUUUGUGCUUGAGUUCUCCAUAUUCUUGUUAAUCCUGUUGUUCCUGAAUAAAACAAUGGGCUGAAAACAAACACAAGAAAAAUUUUUUAUGGAGAGAUAUGUGGCAACCAUAACGAGAUCAUGGGAGUGCCACCUUCGAUUUCUGCAAAUACAAGUCAAAGCUUAAUAACUCAAUCAGUCAAGUACGUUUGUCAAACCCCCAUUCAUUGGCAGUGAGUCAUUGCCUGUUUUGCUCACUUUUUGGUUGCGCUGUUGUUUCAAUAAUGUUAUAUAAGUCAUUAUUGUUGUAAAGAAAUAAUUUUCAGCUGUAGUGGUAAUUCAAUUGAAUUGUCUUUGUUUCCUA
This is an RNA transcript of Mangifera indica (mango), 1913 nucleotides long. It is a transcript of the gene named chaperone protein dnaJ 1, mitochondrial, with no coding region annotated. The record is from RefSeq and is a predicted model, not a curated record. NCBI's taxonomy places the organism in Eukaryota, Viridiplantae, Streptophyta, Magnoliopsida, Sapindales, Anacardiaceae. The transcript has 19 exons.